GACGAACGCUGGCGGCGUGCCUAAUACAUGCCAGUCGAACGCAUUUUCUUUCACCGUAGCUUGCUACACCGAAAGAAAAUGAGUGGCGAACGGGUGAGUAACACGUGGGUAACCUGCCCAUCAGCGGGGGAUAACACUUGGAAACAGGUGCUAAUACCGCAUAAUUCCAUUUACCGCAUGGUAGAUGGAUGAAAGGCGCUUUUGCGUCACUGAUGGAUGGACCCGCGGUGCAUUAGCUAGUUGGUGGGGUAACGGCCUACCAAGGCUGCGAUGCAUAGCCGACCUGAGAGGGUGAUCGGCCACACUGGGACUGAGACACGGCCCAGACUCCUACGGGAGGCAGCAGUAGGGAAUCUUCGGCAAUGGACACAAGUCUGACCGAGCAACGCCGCGUGAGUGAAGAAGGUUUUCGGAUCGUAAAACUCUGUUGUUAGAGAAGAACAAGGAUGAGAGUGGAAAGUUCAUCCCUUGACGGUAUCUAACCAGAAAGCCACGGCUAACUACGUG
This 507-nucleotide ribosomal RNA is filed under the name uncultured bacterium. RNAcentral describes it as "partial 16S ribosomal RNA". It matches the Rfam family "Bacterial small subunit ribosomal RNA", at positions 28 to 507 of the family's 1533-position model. The record is from RNAcentral.